This 255-nucleotide ribosomal RNA is filed under the name uncultured bacterium. RNAcentral describes it as "partial 16S ribosomal RNA". It matches the Rfam family "Bacterial small subunit ribosomal RNA", at positions 524 to 776 of the family's 1533-position model. The record is from RNAcentral.
UACGUAGGGGGGCUAGCGUUGUCCGGAAUCAUUGGGCGUAAAGCGCGUGUAGGCGGCUCGGUAAGUCCGCUGUGAAAGUCGGGGGGCUCAACCCUCGGAUGCCGGUGGAUACUGUCGGGCUAGAGUACGGAAGAGGCGAGUGGAAUUCCUGGUGUAGCGGUGAAAUGCGCAGAUAUCAGGAGGAACACCAAUUGCGAAGGCAGCUCGCUGGGACGGUACUGACGCUGAGGCGCGAAAGCGUGGGGAGCGAACAGG